GGAGUUUGGGCCGUGUCUCAGUCCCAAUGUGGCCGAUCACCCUCUCAGGUCGGCUAUGGAUCGCGGUCUUGGUGGGCCGUUACCUCACCAACUAGCUAAUCAGACGCGGGUCCAUCUCGUACCACCGGAGUUUUUCACACUGUACCAUGCGAUACUGUGCGCUUAUGCGGUAUUAGCAGCCGUUUCCAACUGUUGUCCCCCUGUACGAGGCAGGUUACCCACGCGUUACUCACCCGUCCGCCACUCAGUCAACAAAUCGUCACCCCGAAGGGAUCGUAAUAAGUUGCUUCGUUCGACUUGCAUGUGUUAAGCACGCCGCCAGCGUUCAUCCUGAGCCAGGAUCAACU
Molecule: ribosomal RNA, 347 nt
Filed under: uncultured Lachnospiraceae bacterium
Lineage: Bacteria; Bacillati; Bacillota; Clostridia; Lachnospirales; Lachnospiraceae
Description: partial 16S ribosomal RNA
Source: RNAcentral